CUACGGGGGGCAGCAGUGAGGAAUAUUGCACAAUGGGGGGAACCCUGAUGCAGCAACGCCGCGUGGAGGAUGACGCAUUUCGGUGUGUAAACUCCUUUUAUAUGUCAAGAAAAUGACGGUAGCAUAUGAAUAAGCACCGGCUAACUCCGUGCCAGCAGCCGCGGUAAUACGGAGGGUGCAAGCGUUACUCGGAAUCACUGGGAGUAAAGGACGCGUAGGCGGGUUGGAAAGUCAGGUGUGAAAUCCUACAGCUUAACUGUAGAACUGCACUUGAAACUUCUAAUCUAGAGUAUGGGAGGGGGAGAUGGAGUUAGUGGUGUAGGGGUAAAAUCCGUAGAUAUCACUAGGAAUACCUAAAGCGAAGGCGAUCUCCUGGAACAUUACUGACGCUAAGGCGUGAAAGCGUGGGGAGCAAACAGGAUUAGAUACCCUCGUAGUC
RNAcentral lists this ribosomal RNA (439 nucleotides) under uncultured bacterium. Its description in RNAcentral is "partial 16S ribosomal RNA". It matches the Rfam family "Bacterial small subunit ribosomal RNA", at positions 339 to 795 of the family's 1533-position model. The record is from RNAcentral.